Molecule: ribosomal RNA, 233 nt
Filed under: uncultured bacterium
Lineage: Bacteria
Description: partial 16S ribosomal RNA
Rfam family: Bacterial small subunit ribosomal RNA
Source: RNAcentral
UCCACGCCCCAAACGAUGUGGGCUAGGUGUUGGCCCUCUAAAAUUGGGUCAGUGCCGCAGCUAACGCGUUAAGCCCACCGCCUGGGGAGUACGGCCGCAAGGCUAAAACUCAAGGGAAUUGACGGGGGCCCACACAAGCGGCGGAGCAUCUGGUUCAAUUCGAUGCUAAGCGAAGAACCUUACCUGGGCUUAAAUGUAGAAGGACAGAUCGGGAAACUGAUUUUUCUUCGGAC